This 1062-nucleotide ribosomal RNA is filed under the name uncultured bacterium. RNAcentral's name for it is "bacterial SSU rRNA". It matches the Rfam family "Bacterial small subunit ribosomal RNA", at positions 1 to 1012 of the family's 1533-position model. The record is from RNAcentral.
CGGGCGGUCGCGCGGAUCUUCAGAGAUUAGAGUUUGAUCCUGGCUCAGAACGAACGCUGGCGGCGUGGAUAAGACAUGCAAGUGGGACGCUAAUCAAAGGGUAGCAAUAUUCGUUGGUUGGAGUCGCGUAAGGGUGCGUAACACGUGGGUAAUUUGCCGUGAAGCUCGGAAUAACUUGCCGAAAGGUAAGCUAAUACCGAAUGUGACUUGUGCUGGGCAUCCAGUAUCAGUCAAAGCCGGGGAUCGUAAGACCUGGCACUUCAUGAUAAGCCCGCGGCCUAUCAGCUAGUUGGUGAGGUAACGGCUCACCAAGGCUAAGACGGGUAGCUGGUCUUAGAGGACGACCAGCCACACUGGAACUGAGACACGGUCCAGACACCUACGGGUGGCAGCAGUCGAGAAUUUUUCACAAUGGGCGAAAGCCUGAUGGAGCGACGCCGCGUGGGGGAUGAAUGGCUUCGGCCCGUAAACCCCUGUCAUUCGGGAUCAAAUCUGGCAACCUAACACGUUGUCAGUUGAUAGUACUGAAAGAGGAAGGGACGGCUAACUCUGUGCCAGCAGCCGCGGUAAUACAGAGGUCCCAAGCGUUGUUCGGAUUUACUGGGCGUAAAGGGAGCGUAGGUGGCAUUCUAAGUCUGAUGUGAAAGCUCUGAGCUUAACUCAGAAAUGGCAUUAGAUACUAGUUUGCUUGAGGAUUGGAGGGGAGAUUGGAAUACUUGGUGUAGCAGUGAAAUGCGUAGAUAUCAAGUGGAACACCAGUGGCGAAGGCGAAUCUCUGGACAAUUCCUGACACUGAUGCUCGAAAGCUAGGGGAGCAAACGGGAUUAGAUACCCCGGUAGUCCUAGCUGUAAACGGUGCACGCUUGCUGUAGGUGGAAUCGACCCCGCCUGUAGCGAAGCUAACGCGUUAAGCGUGCCGCCUGGGAAGUACGGUCGCAAGAUUAAAACUCAAAGAAAUUGACGGGGGCCUGCACAAGCGGUGGAGUAUGUGGCUCAAUUCGAUGCAACGCGAAGAACCUUACCUGGCCUUGACAUGCAAGUAGUAGAAGCCUGAAAGGGUGG